GCUGCUGUAGCUCAGUCGGUAGAGCGCAUCCUUGGUAAGGAUGAGGUCACCAGUUCAAAUCUGGUCAGCAGCUCCA
Molecule: transfer RNA, 76 nt
Filed under: Oscillibacter valericigenes
Lineage: Bacteria; Bacillati; Bacillota; Clostridia; Eubacteriales; Oscillospiraceae
Also listed under: 8 other names
Description: tRNA-Thr
Rfam family: tRNA
About the family: Transfer RNA (tRNA) molecules are approximately 80 nucleotides in length. Their secondary structure includes four short double-helical elements and three loops (D, anti-codon, and T loops). Further hydrogen bonds mediate the characteristic L-shaped molecular structure. tRNAs have two regions of fundamental functional importance: the anti-codon, which is responsible for specific mRNA codon recognition, and the 3' end, to which the tRNAs corresponding amino acid is attached (by aminoacyl-tRNA synthetases). tRNAs cope with the degeneracy of the genetic code in two manners: having more than one tRNA (with a specific anti-codon) for a particular amino acid; and 'wobble' base-pairing, i.e. permitting non-standard base-pairing at the 3rd anti-codon position.
Source: RNAcentral